GUUAAGCGACUAAGCGUACACGGUGGAUGCCCUGGCAGUCAGAGGCGAUGAAGGACGUGCUAAUCUGCGAUAAGCGUCGGUAAGGUGAUAUGAACCGUUAUAACCGGCGAUUUCCGAAUGGGGAAACCCAGUGUGAUUCGUCACACUAUCAUUAACUGAAUCCAUAGGUUAAUGAGGCGAACCGGGGGAACUGAAACAUCUAAGUACCCCGAGGAAAAGAAAUCAACCGAGAUUCCCCCAGUAGCGG
This 247-nucleotide ribosomal RNA is filed under the name Escherichia coli. Its description in RNAcentral is "partial 23S ribosomal RNA". It matches the Rfam family "Bacterial large subunit ribosomal RNA", at positions 1 to 249 of the family's 2925-position model. Lineage: Bacteria; Pseudomonadati; Pseudomonadota; Gammaproteobacteria; Enterobacterales; Enterobacteriaceae. The record is from RNAcentral.